RNAcentral lists this ribosomal RNA (468 nucleotides) under uncultured bacterium. RNAcentral's name for it is "partial 16S ribosomal RNA". It matches the Rfam family "Bacterial small subunit ribosomal RNA", at positions 28 to 507 of the family's 1533-position model. The record is from RNAcentral.
GACGAACGCUGGCGGCGUGCUUAACACAUGCAAGUCUAACGGAAAGGCCCUUCUUUUGUUGGUUUCUCGAGUUGCUAACUUUUGAGUAACACGUGUGUAACCUUCCCUUUACUUUUGUAUAACUUCAUGAAACUGGUUCUAAUACCUUAUAUGAUCUCCUUCUGCAUGGUGUUGUUUUGAAAGUUUCGGCGGUUGUGGAUGGACUCGCGGCUUAUCAGCUUGUUGGUGGGGUAGUGGCUUACCAAGGCUUUGACGGGUAGCCGGCAUGAGAGGGUGACCGGCCACAAGGGGACUGAGAUAAGGCACAGAAUGCUACGGGAGGCAGCAGUGGGGAAUAUUGCACAAUGGGCGGAAGCAUGAUGAAGAAACGCGGCGUGCGGGAUGACGGCCUUCGGGUUGUAAAAAGAUUUAGAAUGUGACGAAGAGUGAGUGACGGUAAUGGGUAAAGAAGCACCGGCUAACUACGUG